GGUGAUGGAGGUGGCUCUAUGCAAGGAGGGGGUGGGGGUGGGGGUUCUAUACAAGGUACCGGGGAUGGAGGUGGAGGCAAAUGAGGCGGUGGAGGGGAGGAGUAUACUGGUGGAGGAGGUGAAUUUGGUGGUGGAGGUGAUGAGUAUAUGUAUACAGGUGGUGGAGGUGGUGAAUUUGGUGGUGGAGGAGGCGGAGGUGGUGGUGAAUUGUAGUAGUAAGGUGAAGGGGGUGGAGGUGAGUGAGCAAGCGGUGGUGGCGGAGGAGGUGGUGAAUUUGGUGGUGGAGGUGGUGGUGAGCGUACACAAUAAGGUAAUGGUGAUGGAGGAGGAGGUGAUGGUGGUGGUGGUGGUGGUGGUGGCGAGUAAACAGGUGGUGGAGGAGGUGGUGGUGAUGGUGGAGUAGGAGAGGGUGGUGGUGGCGAAUAAACAGGUGGGGGGGGUGGAGGAGGUGGAGGUGGCGGAGAGGGAGGUGGCGGAGAGGGAGGUGAAUAAACGGGAGGUGGAGGUGACGGAGGAGGCGGAGGAGGUGAAUAAACGGGAGGUGGAGGCGGAGGAGGCGAUGGAGGAGGUGGUGGUGGUGGUGAAGGUGAAGGAGGAUUAUAAACUGGUGGUGGCGGAGGCGAAUAGACGGGCGAUGGAGGGGGAGAAAUGGGCACGACGACAACAGGAGGCGGAGGCGGAGGCGGAGGCGGAG
This 694-nucleotide long non-coding RNA is filed under the name Capsicum annuum. RNAcentral describes it as "long non-coding RNA (CANN_LNC020473)". The record is from RNAcentral. Lineage: Eukaryota; Viridiplantae; Streptophyta; Magnoliopsida; Solanales; Solanaceae.